RNAcentral lists this ribosomal RNA (665 nucleotides) under Bacillus sp. MS-2002. RNAcentral describes it as "bacterial SSU rRNA". It matches the Rfam family "Bacterial small subunit ribosomal RNA", at positions 24 to 670 of the family's 1533-position model. The record is from RNAcentral. Lineage: Bacteria; Bacillati; Bacillota; Bacilli; Caryophanales; Bacillaceae.
SCHRMAUGRAMDRCUNCGGCGUGCCUAAACAUGCAAGUCGAGCGAAUGGAUUGAGAGCUUGCUCUCAAGAAGUUAGCGGCGGACGGGUGAGUAACACGUGGGUAACCUGCCCAUAAGACUGGGAUAACUCCGGGAAACCGGGGCUAAUACCGGAUAAYAUUUUGAACUGCAUGGUUCGAAAUUGAAAGGCGGCUUCGGCUGUCACUUAUGGAUGGACCCGCGUCGCAUUAGCUAGUUGGUGAGGUAACGGCUCACCAAGGCAACGAUGCGUAGCCGACCUGAGAGGGUGAUCGGCCACACUGGGACUGAGACACGGCCCAGACUCCUACGGGAGGCAGCAGUAGGGAAUCUUCCGCAAUGGACGAAAGUCUGACGGAGCAACGCCGCGUGAGUGAUGAAGGCUUUCGGGUCGUAAAACUCUGUUGUUAGGGAAGAACAAGUGCUAGUUGAAUAAGCUGGCACCUUGACGGUACCUAACCAGAAAGCCACGGCUAACUACGUGCCAGCAGCCGCGGUAAUACGUAGGUGGCAAGCGUUAUCCGGAAUUAUUGGGCCGUAAAGCGCGCGCAGGUGGUUUCUUAAGUCUGAUGUGAAAGCCCACGGCUCAACCGUGGAGGGUCAUUGGAAACUGGGAGACUUGAGUGCAGAAGAGAAAGUGGAAUUCC